Molecule: ribosomal RNA, 463 nt
Filed under: uncultured bacterium
Lineage: Bacteria
Description: partial 16S ribosomal RNA
Rfam family: Bacterial small subunit ribosomal RNA
Source: RNAcentral
CCAGACUCCUACGGGAGGCAGCAGUGAGGAAUAUUGGUCAAUGGGCGAGAGCCUGAACCAGCCAAGUCGCGUGAGGGAUGACUGCCCUAUGGGUUGUAAACCUCUUUUGUAUGGGGGGAAUAAGCUUUACGAGUAGAGUGAUGACAGUACCAUACGAAUAAGCAUCGGCUAACUCCGUGCCAGCAGCCGCGGUAAUACGGAGGAUGCGAGCGUUAUCCGGAUUUAUUGGGUUUAAAGGGUGCGUAGGCGGCAUUAUAAGUUAGUGGUAAAAUAUUGGGGCUUCACCUCACUACGCCAUUAAUACUGUAGAGCUAGAGAACAGACGAGGUAGGCGGAAUAAGUUAAGUAGCGGUGAAAUGCAUAGAUAUAACUUAGAACACCGAUAGCGAAGGCAGCUUACCAGACUGAGUCUGACGCUGAUGCACGAGAGCAUGGGUAGCGAACAGGAUUAGAUACCCGAGUA